This 443-nucleotide ribosomal RNA is filed under the name uncultured bacterium. RNAcentral's name for it is "partial 16S ribosomal RNA". It matches the Rfam family "Bacterial small subunit ribosomal RNA", at positions 338 to 795 of the family's 1533-position model. The record is from RNAcentral.
CCUACGGGAGGCAGCAGUGGGGAAUAUUGGUCAAUGGGCGCAAGCCUGACCCAGCAACGCCGCGUGAAGGAAGAAGGCUCUCGGGUUGUAAACUUCUUUUAUCAGGGACGAAGCAAGUGACGGUACCUGAUGAAUAAGCCACGGCUAACUACGUGCCAGCAGCCGCGGUAAUACGUAGGUGGCAAGCGUUAUCCGGAUUUACUGGGUGUAAAGGGCGUGUAGGCGGGAAAGCAAGUGAGAUGUGAAAACCAUGGGCUCAACCUGUGGCCUGCAUUUGAAACUGUUUUUCUUGAGUACUGGAGAGGCAGACGGAAUUCGUGGUGUAGCGGUGAAAUGCGUAGAUAUUAGGAGGAACACCAGUGGCGAAGGCGGUCUGCUGGACAGCAACUGACGCUGAGGCGCGAAAGCGUGGGGAGCAAACAGGAUUAGAUACCCUGGUAGUC